GUACGUGAAACCGUUCAGGGGUAAACCUGAGAAACCCAAAAGAUCGAAUGGGGAGAUUCAUCGUCAACGGUGCUGGCUUCCGUUUGUGCGCGAUGCUCCGAAUGGGCUCUCGUGGUUCCAUGGCGAGGGCACGCCACUUUCGGCCUGAACGUUCCGGCACCGUAGUCGUGCACUUCUCCCCUAGUAGAACGUCGCGACCCGUCGCGUGUCGGUCUACGGCCCGAGCGGGCGCCUGUCGCGGCGCAUUUCGCGCACGCGGUAGACCCUCGGUUGCCCGGCCGGCUGCGCGACGGUACUCACACGGUAUCGGGCCGCAACCAAUCCAUUCUCGAAUGUGUGUGCGUCAGGCCCGCCGCAAGCUCGGGCAGUUUUACCCGGAGGUACGGACCUGGUGCCGUCCCCGGGCCUGACCAGCUGUUAGCAGGCGGUGUCCUCGGACCGGCCAAGCUUCGAAUUACCGGUCGGCGACGCUCCUGCUUUGGGUACUCUCAGGACCCGUCUUGAAACACGGACCAAGGAGUCUAACAUGUGCGCGAGUCAUUGGGAUGCAUAAACCUAAAGGCGCAAUGAAAGUGAAGGUCGGCCUACGCGUCGACCUAGGGAGGAUGGGCCGCGUUACGAUGCGGCCCCGCACUCCCGGGGCGUUUCGUUCUCAUUGCGAGAAGAGGCGCACCUAGAGCGUACACGUUGGGACCGA
RNAcentral lists this ribosomal RNA (697 nucleotides) under Hopliphora velutina. Its description in RNAcentral is "eukaryotic LSU rRNA". It matches the Rfam family "Eukaryotic large subunit ribosomal RNA", at positions 395 to 819 of the family's 3401-position model. Lineage: Eukaryota; Metazoa; Arthropoda; Insecta; Hymenoptera; Apidae. The record is from RNAcentral.